This 443-nucleotide ribosomal RNA is filed under the name uncultured bacterium. RNAcentral describes it as "partial 16S ribosomal RNA". It matches the Rfam family "Bacterial small subunit ribosomal RNA", at positions 338 to 795 of the family's 1533-position model. The record is from RNAcentral.
CCUACGGGAGGCAGCAGUGGGGAAUAUUGGGCAAUGGGCGCAAGCCUGACCCAGCAACGCCGCGUGAAGGAAGAAGGCUUUCGGGUUGUAAACUUCUUUUCUGAGGGACGAAGAAAGUGACGGUACCUCCUGAAUAAGCCACGGCUAACUACAGGCCAGCAGCCGCGGUAAUACGUAGGGGGCAAGCGUUAUCCGGAUUUAUUGGGUGUAAAGGGCGUGUAGGCGGGAAAUCAAGUCAGAUGUGAAAACUCAGGGCUCAACCCUGGGCCUGCAUUUGAAACUGUUUAUCUUGAGUGCUGGAGAGGCGAUCGGAAUUCCGGGUGUAGCGGUGAAAUGCGUAGAUAUCCGGAGGAACACCAGUGGCGAAGGCGGAUUGCUGGACAGUAACUGACGCUGAGGCGCGAAAGCGUGGGGAGCAAACAGGAUUAGAUACCCUAGUAGUC